This 622-nucleotide ribosomal RNA is filed under the name uncultured bacterium. RNAcentral's name for it is "bacterial SSU rRNA". It matches the Rfam family "Bacterial small subunit ribosomal RNA", at positions 338 to 954 of the family's 1533-position model. The record is from RNAcentral.
CCUACGGGAGGCAGCAGUGGGGAAUUUUGGACAAUGGGCGAAAGCCUGAUCCAGCAAUGCCGCGUGAGUGAAGAAGGCCUUCGGGUUGUAAAGCUCUUUUGUCAGGGAAGAAACGGUGGGAGCUAAUAUCUCUUGCUAAUGACGGUACCUGAAGAAUAAGCACCGGCUAACUACGUGCCAGCAGCCGCGGUAAUACGUAGGGUGCAAGCGUUAAUCGGAAUUACUGGGCGUAAAGCGUGCGCAGGCGGUUUUGUAAGUCUGAUGUGAAAUCCCCGGGCUCAACCUGGGAAUUGCAUUGGAGACUGCAAGGCUAGAAUCUGGCAGAGGGGGGUAGAAUUCCACGUGUAGCAGUGAAAUGCGUAGAUAUGUGGAGGAACACCGAUGGCGAAGGCAGCCCCCUGGGUCAAGAUUGACGCCCAUGCACGAAAGCGUGGGGAGCAAACAGGAUUAGAUACCCUGGUAGUCCACGCCCUAAACCGAUGUCUACUAGUUGUCGGGUCUUAAUUGACUUGGUAACGCAGCUAACGCGUGAAGUAGACCGCCUGGGAAGUCGGUCGCAAGNUUAAAACUUCAAAUUGAAUUGACGGGCGNGACGNGCGACGGACGACGACGAGGGAGGAGG